AUGCCCAUUGCCCAGUCACCCCAUCUGCUCACCCACCUCUCCUCCAGCAACCAAGAGGUCGUAUCGUUGAGCUGGGUCUGGAAGAGCCCUUCCAGACAGGUGUCAUCACUGCCUUACUCACCUGCUGAGGUCAUACUUUGGACCAGCCCCCGCCCCAGCGGAGACAAGUUUUCCCUCUGUAUGGAGUAUGCAGGGCACUGGGUAAGUGAGCAGUCUGUCAUCUACAGGGGUCUCAAAAACUGGGGCACAGAGCCAAGGGGUUACAUAGCUCC
RNAcentral lists this long non-coding RNA (272 nucleotides) under Vulpes vulpes (red fox). RNAcentral's name for it is "lncRNA (ENSVVUG00000029633.1)". The record is from RNAcentral. Lineage: Eukaryota; Metazoa; Chordata; Mammalia; Carnivora; Canidae.